GUGGGGAAUUUUGGACAAUGGGCGAAAGCCUGAUCCAGCCAUGCCGCGUGCAGGAUGAAGGCCUUCGGGUUGUAAACUGCUUUUGUACGGAACGAAAAGACUCUGGUUAAUACCUGGGGUCCAUGACGGUACCGUAAGAAUAAGCACCGGCUAACUACGUGCCAGCAGCCGCGGUAAUACGUAGGGUGCAAGCGUUAAUCGGAAUUACUGGGCGUAAAGCGUGCGCAGGCGGUUAUAUAAGACAGAUGUGAAAUCCCCGGGCUCAAGCUGGGAACUGCAUUUGUGACUGUAUAGCUAGAGUACGGCAGAGGGGGAUGGAAUUCCGCGUGUAGCAGUGAAAUGCGUAGAUAUGCGGAGGAACACCGAUGGCGAAGGCAAUCCCCUGGGCCUGUACUGACGCUCAUGCACGAAAGCGUGGGGAGCAAACAGGAUUAGAUACCCUGGUAGUCC
This 450-nucleotide ribosomal RNA is filed under the name uncultured bacterium. RNAcentral's name for it is "partial 16S ribosomal RNA". It matches the Rfam family "Bacterial small subunit ribosomal RNA", at positions 354 to 796 of the family's 1533-position model. The record is from RNAcentral.